AAGUCGUAACAAGGUUUCCGUAGGUGAACCUGCGGAAGGAUCAUUAAAAGAUUUUGUUUUUUGGGGUUUUAAUCUCAAAAAAUAAUUCACCUUUUGUGCAUUGUUAUUAGAUAUACUUUGGUUAGAGCUUUGAUUUCAUUUAUUGGAAUCAACUUCUUGCUGACUCUAUCCUUUUUAAAGGACAGUUGGCUAUGAAGCGGCCUACCAAGGUUUUUUUUAUCAAACUCUUGUAUUUUGUCUGACCUAAAUAUCAAUAAUUAAAUCAUAACUUUCAACAACGGAUCUCUUGGCUCUC
RNAcentral lists this unclassified non-coding RNA (295 nucleotides) under fungal sp. RNAcentral describes it as "partial internal transcribed spacer region". The stretch from base 1 to 46 matches the Rfam family "Eukaryotic small subunit ribosomal RNA", at positions 1786 to 1831 of the family's 1831-position model. The record is from RNAcentral. Lineage: Eukaryota; Fungi.